AACGAACGCUGGCGGCAUGCCUAACACAUGCAAGUCGAACGAAACCUUCGUGCCUACUGGCUCACGGGUGCGUAACGCGUGGGAACCUGCCCUUAGGUUCGGAAUAACUCCCCGAAAGGGGUGCUAAUACCGGAUAAUGUCUUCGGACCAAAGAUUUAUCGCCUUUGGAUGGGCCCGCGUUGGAUUAGCUAGUUGGUAGGGUAAAAGCCUACCAAGGCGACGAUCCAUAGCUGGUUGGAGAGGAGGAUCAGCCACACUGGGACUGAGACAAGGCCCAGACUCCUACGGGAGGCAGCAGUGGGGAAUAUUGGACAAUGGGCGUGAGGCUGAUCCAGCGAUGCCGCGUGAGUGAUGAAGGCCUUAGGGUCGUAAAGCUCUUUUACCCGGGAUGAUAAUGACAGUACCGGGAGAAUAAGCUCCGGCUAACUCCGUG
This 433-nucleotide ribosomal RNA is filed under the name uncultured bacterium. Its description in RNAcentral is "partial 16S ribosomal RNA". It matches the Rfam family "Bacterial small subunit ribosomal RNA", at positions 29 to 507 of the family's 1533-position model. The record is from RNAcentral.